CCAUAAAAUCACAACACAGACCCAUUUAGAAAAAGCGAAAAGAAAAUGGCAGGAGUAACGUUAGGAGCCUCAAUGGUUCCCAUCACUGCACUCUUAGUAGUGUUGAUUUCUCUAAGUUUCCCGUUCUUUAGUGCAGCUGAUGGUUACUAUAGUUACAAGUCACCACCGCCUCCAACCCCGGUCUACAAAUCACCCCCACCACACACCCCAGUCUACAUGUACAAAUCCCCAUCGCCGCCAAUCCCUGUUUACAAAUUACUACCACCACCCACCCCUGUCUACAAGUACAAAUCCCCACCACCGCCAACCCCAGUCUACAAAUCACCACCACCACCCACCCCAAUCUACAAGUACAAAUCCCCACCGCCGCCAACCCCGGUCUACAAAUCACCCACCACCACCCACCCCGGUUUACAAGUACAAAUCACCACCACCACCGACCCCGGUCUACAAAUCACCAUCACCACACACCCCAAUCUAUAAGUACAAAUCCCCACCACCACCAACCCCUGUCUACAAAUCACCACCACCACCCACCCCAGUAUACCAGUCUCCACCUCCUCCCACCCCAGUCUACAAGUACAAAUCUCCACCACCACCACCCACUCCAGUCUACAAAUACACAUCCCCUCCUCCUCAUUACUAAAGUGUCCCCGAGUUUCAUGCUCAUAUAUAUUGUUAAAAAUAUUUACAACAAUAAGCAAUUAUACACGCAUCUUCACUGAAGGCUAAAUAAUGUUGUACUAGUGGUUUUUCGUUUCUCUAGUCUGUAGUUCUUGCAUGUUAUGUAACUUCGAUUGCAUUUCUUCAUAAGAGGACCAAUGUAUUUCGGUAUUUCCCUUAUAUAUAAUCUUUUAAUAAAAUUACUUUUCUGUCAAACUUUUGUUUGUAUCAAUUCACAUAUAUCAUCUUCAAAAGUCUUAUUCUAAUCGCGCUAGCAGUGGCUUCCUAUAGAGAGAAGUUAUAAUGGGUGUUUUUACACUCCCAUUUCGAUUUUAUGUUUUAAAGGCUUGAAGUAAAGCAUGUUUGUCAUUGAUAGUUAAACAAAUUUCUUGCAGUUUGGGUUAUAUCUUACUCAUGGCAAUAUAAUGAUGCACUACUGCCGGCUCCUCCAGUGCAGUUUAGCCAAAAAUGCAUGAUAUCUACUCCCCAUUACAACCAGUAUUUCAUGCGCAUCACCCUAUUUCACAGUUCAUGCAGGGAAGGAAGGAAAAUAAAACAGAAGCGAAGAAGAAAACGAAAGAAGAAAAGGGAAGAAUGAACUUCUCCUCGAGGUGAAUUCGGUAUAAUCUAAUGACUUCAUACCAAGGCACCGGGGAUAUUAGAUAUGGGAAGACGCUAGGUGAUUAUAGAAGAUACUUGGAUGCCUUGGUAACGUUUUUAUAUGAAAUGACCAUUUUACCCUUCAUCCAUCUCAGAUGAUUUCUUCUCCUUCGGGUAUUCAGAAGACACGCUCAUGUAUUCCAUUUCGCAUAACUUUUCGAGAACUAUCUAAUGGUACUAGUUUCAUAACCAAAUUAUUGAUUUGACAGGGUCCUUAAUUUCCUUGAUUGUUGAAUUCUGAGGUUGUUAAUUGCGGUUUUGCUAAUAAAAGUUCGUACCCUGGUUAUUGAACAUCCUCCGAUCCAGACUAUUGGAGUACAAACUAGCGUUGGAGAAGCCAUAUAUUGGCUAUUGGCUGCUGCGAAAAAGCCAUUUGAUGUUCAAAAUGUAUAUCAAAGCAGAGACAACAUAGCCAAAAGCUGCAAGACUGUCAAAUAAACUCUUAUCUUUGUUGAAAUAAGCGUGUAAGGUUAAGUUACCUUUUGUCCGGUUAUGCAGUUACUUCUUCAGAUGCGUUUGAUAUUCCUUGGUUUUGGGUGCAAAAUGUCUUUCCAUAGUGUCCCAGACUUCUUUUGAUGUGUCUAGGCCAGUGACUUUGCCAACGACUUCUAAUAAGAAAGAUAGCAGAAAACCAAGAAAGAUUGCGUCUUCCUCUUCGUAAUUUGUAAAUUCAGGAUUGAUUUCUUCAUAUUCAGGAAGUGUACUUGGGGAAUUCAGGAUUGAUUUCUUCAUAUUCAGGAAGUGUACUCGGGGAUUUCACUUUUGAUC
Molecule: long non-coding RNA, 2091 nt
Organism: Papaver somniferum (opium poppy)
Lineage: Eukaryota; Viridiplantae; Streptophyta; Magnoliopsida; Ranunculales; Papaveraceae
Exons: 3
Source: RefSeq, a predicted model, not a curated record